RNAcentral lists this ribosomal RNA (502 nucleotides) under uncultured bacterium. RNAcentral describes it as "partial 16S ribosomal RNA". It matches the Rfam family "Bacterial small subunit ribosomal RNA", at positions 30 to 523 of the family's 1533-position model. The record is from RNAcentral.
AUUGAACGCUGGCGGCAUGCCUUACACAUGCAAGUCGAACGGCAGCACGGGAGCUUGCUCCUGGUGGCGAGUGGCGAACGGGUGAGUAAUACAUCGGAACGUACCCAGUAGUGGGGGAUAACGCACCGAAAGGUGCGCUAAUACCGCAUACGACCGAAGGGUGAAAGCGGGGGACCGUAAGGCCUCGCGCUAUUGGAGCGGCCGAUGUCUGAUUAGCUAGUUGGCGGGGUAAUAGCCCACCAAGGCGACGAUCAGUAGCUGGUCUGAGAGGACGAUCAGCCACACUGGGACUGAGACACGGCCCAGACUCCUACGGGAGGCAGCAGUGGGGAAUUUUGGACAAUGGGGGCAACCCUGAUCCAGCAAUACCGCGUGUGUGAAGAAGGCCUGCGGGUUGUAAAGCACUUUCGUUGGGAAAGAAGGCCAAGUUGCUAAUAGUAGCUUGGAUUGACGUUACCCAAAGAAGAAGCACCGGCUAACUCUGUGCCAGCAGCCGCCGUAA